AGAGUUUGAUCAUGGCUCAGAGCGAACGCUGGCGGCGUACUUAACACAUGCAAGUCGAACGAGGAUCAUCGGUGUAGCAAUGCAUUGGCGGUCCUAGUGGCGCACGGGUGAGUAACACGUGGGUGACCUGCCCUGGAGUUCGGGAUACCCCCUCGAAAGGGGGGCUAAUACCGGAUACGUUCCCUGGUUGAAAGAUCGGGGAGGAAAGGUGGCGCAAGCUGCCGCUCUUGGAGGGGCUCGCGGCCUAUCAGCUAGUUGGCGGGGUAACGGCCCACCAAGGCUAUGACGGGUAGCUGGUCUGAGAGGACGACCAGCCACACGGGGACUGAGACACGGCCCCGACUCCUACGGGAGGCAGCAGUGGGGAAUUUUCCGCAAUGGGCGAAAGCCUGACGGAGUGACGCCGCGUGUGGGACGAAGGCCUUCGGGUCGUAAACCACUGUCAGUGGGAAAGAAGGGUGUCGGGGCUAAUACCCCUGGCAUCUGACGGUACCUGCAGAGGAAGCCCCGGCCAACUCUGUGCCAGCAGCCGCGGUAAGACAGAGGGGGCAAGCGUUGCUCGGAAUUACUGGGCGUAAAGGGCGCGUAGGCGGGAUGGCAAGUCGGUCGUGAAAUCCCUCGGCUCAACCGAGGAACGUCGAUCGAUACUGCUGUUCUUGAGGAUUGCAGAGGAGACUGGAAUUCCCGGUGUAGCGGUGAAAUGUGUAGAGAUCGGGAGGAACACCGGUGGCGAAGGCGGGUCUCUGGGCAAUUCCUGACGCUGAGGCGCGAAAGCGUGGGGAGCAAACGGGAUUAGAUACCCCGGUAGUCCACGCUGUAAACGAUGAGCACUAGGUGUGGGGGGGUUCAGUCCCUUCCGUGCCGCAGCUAACGCAUUAAGUGCUCCGCCUGGGGAGUACGGCCGCAAGUUGAAACUCAAAGGAAUUGACGGGGGC
This 935-nucleotide ribosomal RNA is filed under the name uncultured bacterium. Its description in RNAcentral is "bacterial SSU rRNA". It matches the Rfam family "Bacterial small subunit ribosomal RNA", at positions 8 to 920 of the family's 1533-position model. The record is from RNAcentral.